This 96-nucleotide non-coding RNA is filed under the name Heterosigma akashiwo. The record is from RNAcentral. Lineage: Eukaryota; Raphidophyceae; Chattonellales; Chattonellaceae.
CGGGGCCAGGGGGGAUGGGCAUGGUGGGGAACGAAGAAAUGGGAUUUCGAGAAUGAUGCCUCAAUCUGCUCCAGACGGCAGCAGCAGAAAACAAGA